This is a regulatory RNA element of 157 nucleotides. It matches the Rfam family "TPP riboswitch aptamer (THI element)". From Rfam's summary of the family: Vitamin B(1) in its active form thiamin pyrophosphate (TPP) is an essential coenzyme that is synthesised by coupling of pyrimidine and thiazole moieties in bacteria. The previously detected thiamin-regulatory element, thi box was extended, resulting in a new, highly conserved RNA secondary structure, the THI element, which is widely distributed in eubacteria and also occurs in some archaea. The record is from Rfam.
CAAAAUUCGUUGGGGUGCCUUCGAAGCAAUAUCAGGAAAAGUGCCAAGCGGUUUUCCGUCCGAUGUUGCGACACAAAAGGCUGAGAGACGCUGAUCGCGUUAACCCAUUGAACCUGAUCCGGGUAAUACCUGCGUAGGGAACGGAGUUUGACGCGUC